This 465-nucleotide ribosomal RNA is filed under the name uncultured bacterium. RNAcentral's name for it is "partial 16S ribosomal RNA". It matches the Rfam family "Bacterial small subunit ribosomal RNA", at positions 28 to 507 of the family's 1533-position model. The record is from RNAcentral.
GACGAACGCUGGCGGCGUGCUUAACACAUGCAAGUCGAACGGAAAGGCCCCUUUUGGGGUACUCGAGUGGCGAACGGGUGAGUAACACGUGAGUAACCUGCCCUUGACUUCGGGAUAACUUCAGGAAACUGGGGCUAAUACCGGAUAGGAAUCCUUGCUGCAUGGUGGGGGUUGGAAAGCUUCGGCGGUUUUGGAUGGACUCGCGGCUUAUCAGCUUGUUGGUGGGGUAGUGGCUUACCAAGGCUUUGACGGGUAGCCGGCCUGAGAGGGCGACCGGCCACAUUGGGACUGAGAUACGGCCCAGACGCCUACGGGAGGCAGCAGUGGGGAAUAUUGCACAAUGGGCGGAAGCCGGAUGCAGCAACGCCGCGGGCGGGAGGACGGCCUUAGGGUUGGAAACCGCUUUCAGCAGGGGCGAAGCUUGUGGUGACGGUACCUGCAGAAGAAGCACCGGCUAACUACGUG